GGACCUUGAGAUCAUGACCUGAGCUGAAGGCAUACACUUAACCGACUGAACCAUCCAGUUAAGAUUGAUGCUUAGAUAUUGAUGAAAGUCAGAAAAUCUUUAUAGAUUGUGUCCGUUGCUAUCAUAAGUGUUUUUAUUUGUCUUGUCCAGUAUUUUUACUCUGAAUUCUACUUGCCUGAUACAGUAAUGGUGGCCACUGGUUUUUUGUUAUUGUUGUUUUUUGUUUUCUUUUCAUUUCCUAAGAUACUUUUUUCUUAUUUUUUACCAUCUGCUUUUCUUAGUCACUUUGUUUAGGUGUGUCCUCGAUUUAUGCUUUGUGAACUUGAUGAUGACCUUUUAAUUUGGGAAGUUUGCCUUUCUGUUUUUAGAACAUUUAGUAGUUACUUCUGUAAGUAUAACUGAAUAUAACAUAUUUAAUAUGUUAUUUAUUUUGAUAGUAUCAAUUGACUCUCCACUGUGAGGCCACAAGAAAUUAACAUAUCCUACCUAAUUCCUUUUAGAUCUUCUUUUCUUUCUUCUCAUUGUUACCAAUACAAUAGUUGAUGUUAUUUUCUUGGUUCUUGAAUAGUAUUUAGCUUUAUGACAUGAAAAAGACGCAACUUAGUUACCUGAUUUGUUAGCUCUUAAAUUAAUGGAUUGAGUCCUGGCUAUAAAAUGAAUUAUACACCUUCCUAGCCUUCCCCAAACUUCUUUAAAUUUUGUUCUUGUUGUACAUAUGUGUAUUUCCAUUCUUUUGGUUUUAGGAUUAAUCUUUAAGAGAUAUUCAAAAGGCAAAACUGUCUAUAUAUCACAUCCUCAAAAGUGGAAAUCCAAAAAUAAUUUCAUGUCUCUAAAAGCAAAUACAUUUUAAAAGGUAUGGAUAUUUUCCUAUAGUCACCAAAGAGUUAACCAAGGAUUUUAAGAAGGAAUUUAGACAGAGUAAGUCCUGUACAGCACAGAAAAGAAUAAAUUGAAUGCUAUAAGAGUGGUAUAAAAGAACUCAAUUCUUACAGAAUAUCAAUUGUGCAGAAAUUUAAAUUGUGUCAUUAAAGUAGUUAUUAUGUAUGUAAUAAUGUUGCAUGAAAAUAUUGCAAGGCAAAGAUAAUAUUUGUGAAGUGGAAUAAGAAUGGUUUGUUUCAGCUUCACCUGCAUAGUGCCUAAUAUAAACACAUUUCUGUUUGCUCACUAGAAAGAAUUAGUUGAAUACACAUUCUCUGGACAGUUUGACAUACAGUCAAGAGGAGUAUCUCUGUGAUUGUAAGCCUCUGGGAUCACACUUGAAUUUAUGCUAAGAGAUGAGAUGAUUCAGCAUUUGGACGACUCACCAGAAAGAUCAACCAGGAACAGGGAAGAUAAUCAUAGGAGGGAGCAGUGGUAGAGAGUAUGUCUCUUGCUGCUGCACAGAACACACAUAGCAGGUGAUGAUACCAAACAGCUAACUCCCAGAGGGAGCUGAAUGGCAUGGCACAUGUGGAUUCAUCUACUAGACCACGAAUACUUUGAAAGGAAAAUAUCAAUCUCCAACUUAUGUAUAGGACCUGAAAGAAUAUUUUGCACAUGGUGUUUGCUCAAUAAGUUUUUGUAUGGCAGGAAAGAGAGAGAGGAGAAAGGGAGAAAAAGAGGAAAGAAGGGAAUCCAGUUAUUGUCGCACGUAUUUUCCCUUAUCUGGAAUACUUUAUUUACCCCAACCAAUCCCAGCUAACUCCUUUAUCUAACUAACUCCUACUCCUUUAGGACUUACUCAUCAAUAUCGCUUUCUCUAGGUUCUUUGACCAUAAUUCAAGGUAGAAUUCUCGGCUGCAUGCACCUAUCUCACCCUGGUUACAUAAGGAUAAUCUGCAGUGUUUUAUGUAAAUCAUGUUAAAUGUAUGACUUCAUCAUUUAGUAAGCUUAUGUCACAUAUGAUAGUGACAUGUUAUUCUCUGGCAUAGUCAUAGGUCUUUAUUAAAUAUGCAUCAAAUGAAUGAUUUACUUAUUUAGAUCUCUUGGACAGAAGGGCCAUAUACGUGCAUCUUAUACAAAGAACACGUGAAGGACUAAAGAAAAGAACAGCAUGAUCUGUGUGUUCUACGAUGGUAGAGGAAGAGAGAGAAAGUUUCUGUCCGUGAUACAGAAAGAACCAGAAAGAAGGCAGCUACAAGGAUUCAAAUUUGGGGGCAAAAAAAAGAGAAUAACCUCACCUGAAGUAGGUUUUAAAAAUUUUAUACAACUUGGGCAAUACUGUUUGCUUACUUGUCUGCUUUUGUCAUCAUACUGUAUGUUACAUCCCCAUGACUUAUUUAUUUCAUGAUGGGAAGUUUGUGCUUUUUGAUCACCUUCACCUAUUUGCCCAAUCCCUGCCUCUGGCUAACACCAAUCUGUUUUCCAUACCUAUGAGCUUGGUUUUUGUUUUUGUUUAGAUUCCACAUAUAAGUGAGAGAAGAUGUUAUUUGUUUUUCUCUGACUGAUUUCAAUCAGCAAAAUAUCCUCAAGUUUCAUCCGUGUAGUUGCAAAUGGCAAAAGUUCAUUCUUUAUGGUUCUUUAUCCAUUUAUCUGUUGAUGGGCACUGAUGUUUUUUCCAUAUCUUGGCUAUUGUAAAUAGGGCACAGAACAUGGGGAUGCAGAUAUCUUUUCAAGACAUAUUUGUUUGUAACCAUCCAGACAGUAUUCUAAAGAUGUAAAUAUAUGAUCAUGUGUGUGUUUAUGCAUUGUAUAUGAUAAAAAUGAACUUAUUUAAUAUACUGUUUUAUAACUUACUUUUUAUUGUAACAUUAUUAUUAGAAUAUUUCCACAUCAGACUAUAGAUACACAGAUAGAUGGAUCCAGUUACUAUCGGUAUAAAUACAUGUAUUUAUCCAGUGAAUAUAAAUCUCAUCCUUCAUAAGAUAUACAGUAUUCCAUUAUAUAGAUGCUAUACUUUUUAAAUCAAUUCUCUUUUAUUGGUCAUUGGCUUGUUCACAGCUUUUCACAUGUUUUCCAUGUUUUAAUAUAAAACUUUUUUGUUUUAUUAUAAAACAUGUGCAAUGAACAUAAUAUUCUGGAAACAACACAGUAGAGGCAUUGCAGAAAUUAUUUCUUUAGGUGAUUUGUUAAUAUAGAAUUAUUAGGUUAAUGAGCAACCAUAGGGGGUAGUAUAUUUCCCACUACUCAAGAUAUUGAUGUAAGAUUGAAUGUCUAUUUUGUAGGGGCACAGUAGAGAAGAAAUCAACAUUAGAUCAGAAGAGAAGUAGAGGUUCUAAAAUUCUUUCUAAUUUUGAUAUUCUGUGAUUCUCUGAGUGCUAAGGACAGACUCAACCUUUUGCUUCUCUCUGUAACACACUUGGGAGAAGAAACUAUGAAUUAUUUAUAUUAAUAUCCAGUUUAUAUUAGUCUCAUGUCCAUGGAUGUAAAAUUGUUCUGAGAUUCUGUAUCUCUAAGAUACAUUUAAUGGUGUCAUAAAGUCCAUGAUCUUCACACAUUGGGGGAAUAUGUCUUCAUCUCAGUUCUACCUAAAAAUGAUUUUCCUGACAAGGGGAAGGGACUUAAAUUCCCACCCCACUUCCUCAGCAUGGGAGAAUACAGACUCAAUGAGAAGCCUGAGAUCCAUAGAACAUAACAAAAAGAGAAAGGAAACAUUAUGC
Mustela erminea (ermine) is the source of this 3578-nucleotide long non-coding RNA. RefSeq lists it as uncharacterized. The transcript is spliced from 4 exons. NCBI's taxonomy places the organism in Eukaryota, Metazoa, Chordata, Mammalia, Carnivora, Mustelidae. The record is from RefSeq and is a predicted model, not a curated record.